Molecule: non-coding RNA, 1075 nt
Organism: Cricetulus griseus (Chinese hamster)
Lineage: Eukaryota; Metazoa; Chordata; Mammalia; Rodentia; Cricetidae
Source: RefSeq, a predicted model, not a curated record
CGACUGCCCCAAAGGACAGACACGUGACAUUGACAAAAGAGAAAGAGAAACAAGAAAGUGAAUUUCUGGGAAGUAUGAAGAAGUAAACAGGACCAAGAGAAUUGCUGUUUUUGAGCAGAUAAACUGGAUCUGAGAAGACAAAAAAGGAGUUCUGUUCCUUUAGAGAGCCCUGACUAAUACAGAUGACAACUUGCCCGAACUUCACCAAUUCCUAGUGAGGAUGUCCAGCUGAAGGAAGGGAAGCAGAGGCCUGGAGGGCUAACCUCCCAAAGCCACAUAAAUGUCCCCUCCUAGUCUGGCCACAUUGCAGAACGAUUCCUGAGGAAGGAGUGGAAGAAUGGGGGUGACCCCCAACAUUUGCCCCAAGCUUCCAGCAAGAGAAGCAGAGAAUAACAGGGCCCGUCUCAGGCUGGCUCUCCUCUGUUGCUGAAGGCAGGGUCCAAAAUGAGGGAACUUCUUAGGACCAUGGUCAUAGGUCCUGUAUGGCUGCUGUGGUCUUGAGAAGAGCAGGUACUCUGCAUCUGUUUUGGAGCUUGCUCAGAAUGGGUCUCAUGCCAUCCAGGCUGACCUCACAUUUGCUGUGUACCCAAGGAUAAACUUCAAUUUCUGAUUCUCUUGCCUCCACCUCUGGAGUACCGGGAUUACAGACAGAGAAUAAAAACAGCAGUGCUGCCAGGUCAGACCAGGAAGCGAUGACAUCAGAGCUGUGGUGGUUGCUAGCAGGACACCUGCACUUCCACGGGAGAGAUGGCAGCUUUUGCAGAAAGUGAAGAAGAGUGAGACAGCUGUUUGCUCCUCCGGAGUUAGAUGGAUGUUCGAGUUGAGGCACAGUAUGGUUCCCAAGGGAAGUCCAGGCUCCUCCUCGGUCUUCAGGUGGUCUGCCGAGUGACCGAAGGCAUCAGGUGUGUGGCCUGGGAUGGUGGCCCACCUCAUCUUCCCACCCACUUGCCCUCUGCUCACCUUCCACGGCCAUGCGUUCCCGCAGCUCCUGCUGCAGCCGGCUCUGGCGGUCUUCCAGCUCCAGCUCCCGGGCACUGAGACAGGGAGAGAUGGCCACAGUGACUUUUGGACUAGU